RNAcentral lists this ribosomal RNA (254 nucleotides) under uncultured bacterium. Its description in RNAcentral is "partial 16S ribosomal RNA". It matches the Rfam family "Bacterial small subunit ribosomal RNA", at positions 524 to 777 of the family's 1533-position model. The record is from RNAcentral.
UACGAAGGGGGCUAGCGUUGCUCGGAAUCACUGGGCGUAAAGCGCAACGUAGGCGGAUCUUUAAGUCAGGGGUGAAAUCCUGGAGCUCAACUCCAGAACUGCCCUUGAUACUGGGGAUCUUGAGUCCGGAAGAGGUGAGUGGAACUCCGAGUGUAGAGGUGAAAUUCGUAGAUAUUCGGAAGAACACCAGUGGCGAAGGCGGCUCACUGGCCGGUACUGACGCUGAGGAGCGAAAGCGUGGGGAGCGAACGGGG